GACGAACGCUGGCGGCGUGCUUAACACAUGCAAGUCGAACGGAAAGGCCCUGCUUUUGUGGGGUGCUCGAGUGGCGCACGGGUGAGUAACACGUGAGUAACCUGCCCUUGACUUUGGGAUAACUUCAGGAAACUGGGGCUAAUACCGGAUAGGAGCUCCUGCUGCAUGGUGGGGGUUGGAAAGUUUAGGCGGUUGGGGAUGGACUCCCGGCUUAUCAGCUUGUUGGUCGGGUAGUGGCUUACCAAGGCUUUGACGGGUAGCCGGCCUGAGAGGGGUACCGGGCACAUGGGGACUGAGAGACGGCCCAGACUCCAACGGGAGGCAGUAGGGGGGAAUAUUGCACAAUGGGCGGAAGCCUGAUGCAGCAACGCCGCGUGCGGGAUGACGGCCUUCGGGUUGUAAACCGCUUUCGCCUGUGACGAAGCUUGAGUGACGGUAAUGGGUAAAGAAGCACCGGCUAACUACGUG
This 468-nucleotide ribosomal RNA is filed under the name uncultured bacterium. RNAcentral's name for it is "partial 16S ribosomal RNA". It matches the Rfam family "Bacterial small subunit ribosomal RNA", at positions 28 to 507 of the family's 1533-position model. The record is from RNAcentral.